AGAGACAGCACCAGUAGCUUCUUCCGGGAAGAGGAGGCCGGAAGUUGGACUUCGGCUGUGGUGGCGAAGGCGGUUACCAGUGUAAACCCAGUACCGAGGUUUGUGAUCUUCUGCAAUGGGUGAGCCACAGCAAGUGAGUGCCCUUCCGCCACCUCCGAUGCAGUACAUCAAGGAAUACACAGAUGAAAACAUUCAGGAAGGCCUCGCUCCCAAGCCUCCACCUCCAAUAAAAGACAGUUACAUGAUGUUUGGCAACCAGUUCCAAUGUGAUGAUCUUAUCAUCCGCCCUUUGGAAAGUCAGGGUAUCGAACGGCUUCAUCCUAUGCAGUUUGAUCACAAGAAAGAACUGAGAAAACUCAAUAUGUCUAUCCUUAUUAAUUUCUUAGAUCUCUUAGAUAUCUUGAUAAGGAGUCCUGGGAGUAUAAAACGGGAAGAGAAGCUAGAAGAUCUUAAGCUGCUUUUUGUGCAUGUACAUCAUCUCAUAAAUGAAUACCGGCCCCACCAAGCCAGAGAGACCCUGAGAGUCAUGAUGGAGGUGCAGAAGCGGCAACGCCUUGAGACAGCAGAGAGGUUUCAGAAGCAUCUGGAACGAGUCAUUGAGAUGAUUCAGAAUUGCUUGGCUUCUUUGCCUGAUGACUUGCCCCAUUCAGAAGCAGGGAUGAGAGUAAAAGCUGAACCAAUGGACGCUGAUGAUAGCAACAAUUGUACUGGACAGAGUGACCAACAAAGAGAAAAUUCAGGUCAUAGGAGAGACCAGAUUAUAGAGAAAGAUGCUGCCUUGUGUGUCCUCAUUGAUGAAAUGAAUGAAAGACCGUGAAAGAUGUUUCUUUUCCUUGCUGAUUUUUUCCUUUCAGUAAAUAGCAUAUAUAUUAGUUAAUUCACUUUUAGAGAAUUCUUUGAAGAGAUACAACUAGUAGAAGGCACGCGAACAGCUUGACUCUCCAGCUUUAUCAGUUGUGGGACGUCACAGGCAGUAUUUUCGUCUGUGGCAAGCAUAGCUAGAUUCCUACUUAGCUUAAAUGUAGUGCCCCAGUGAGAGUAAUCACCGUGAAGGGCAGUGUUCGCUGCUAUUGGGUGGAACGUCCCUGUUUUCAGAGGUGCAGUGAGCUGGAAGAUAUCCUCAGUAAUUGCAAGCUUUCGUCCUUGGAAAGUAGAUUUGUCAUUUGCUUUAAGAGUGAUAAAUAAUAAAGGAUAUCAAAAAAAGGCAAAAAAGACAAAAAAAAAAAAAAAAAAAAA
RNAcentral lists this long non-coding RNA (1236 nucleotides) under Sus scrofa (pig). RNAcentral's name for it is "lncRNA (ENSSSCG00070012596.1)". The record is from RNAcentral. Lineage: Eukaryota; Metazoa; Chordata; Mammalia; Artiodactyla; Suidae.